This 379-nucleotide ribosomal RNA is filed under the name uncultured bacterium. RNAcentral describes it as "bacterial SSU rRNA". It matches the Rfam family "Bacterial small subunit ribosomal RNA", at positions 524 to 898 of the family's 1533-position model. The record is from RNAcentral.
UACGUAGGGUGCAAGCGUUGUCCGGAUUUAUUGGGCGUAAAGAGCUCGUAGGCGGUUUGUCGCGUCGGAUGUGAAAACCCAAUGGCUUAACCUUGGGCCUGCAUUCGAUACGGGCAAACUAGAGUGUGGUAGGGGAGACUGGAACUCCUGGUGUAGCGGUGGAAUGCGCAGAUAUCAGGAAGAACACCGAUGGCGAAGGCAGGUCUCUGGGCCAUAACUGACGCUGAGGAGCGAAAGCGUGGGGAGCGAACAGGAUUAGAUACCCUGGUAGUCCACGCCGUAAACGGUGGGCGCUAGGGGUGGGGAUUGUUUCCACGAUCUCCGUGCCGUAGCUAACGCAUUAAGCGCCCCGCCUGGGGAGUACGGCCGCAAGGCUAAA